GGAUCAUUAGCUCAACGGUAGAGCAGUUGCCUCUUAAGCAAUUGGUUCUGGGUUCGAAUCCCGGAUGGUCCA
This 72-nucleotide transfer RNA is filed under the name bacterium. RNAcentral describes it as "tRNA-Lys". It matches the Rfam family "tRNA". From Rfam's summary of the family: Transfer RNA (tRNA) molecules are approximately 80 nucleotides in length. The record is from RNAcentral. RNAcentral also lists the same sequence under 1 other name.